Molecule: long non-coding RNA, 240 nt
Organism: Calidris pygmaea (Spoon-billed sandpiper)
Lineage: Eukaryota; Metazoa; Chordata; Aves; Charadriiformes; Scolopacidae
Source: Ensembl
CACAGAGGAAAGAGGGGUUGAGAUUGGGGAUAGGUGUUUUACCUAUGUGUUUAAACUCUGCCCUGAGAAAAAUCUGGAGCUUGAAGCUGAAUGUUGACUGAAACCCACUUUGAGCUUGACCUUCUUCGGCUUUUUUGGGUGAACUUGAAGGACAGCUGACAGCUCCACCUCAUAACUCUUGUGGAUGGUAAACCUGUCUAGUAGUGCUUUCUCCAUCCAGACAUGAGAAUAGUCCUUUAU